AGGAAUCACAUACAAGGGUAUCCAUCUAUACGAAUCUUUCGUAAAGGAAGUGAUGUUAGCCAAAUAAUGCUUUAAGUGUUCCUAAUACACCUUUGGAUGCAAUUAGAGGAUCAUCUGGUGCUAGCAACCCUUAGUUUGCAUAUAAUGUAUUUUGGAUUUAAAGUUUAGUAUGAGGCUAAUUUGACAAUGUUAUGGAUUUUAUGUUGUACUUGGAUUUAUAAUAGAAGUUUGAAUUAUAAAUCUUUGAACUA
Molecule: non-coding RNA, 251 nt
Organism: Cajanus cajan (pigeon pea)
Lineage: Eukaryota; Viridiplantae; Streptophyta; Magnoliopsida; Fabales; Fabaceae
Source: RefSeq, a predicted model, not a curated record